GGCCCAAGCUGGNUGAGUACAUGAUGGAUCGAAUAUAANCCAUUCUUUGAAAUCAAUUGGAGGGCAAGUCUGGUGCCAGCAGCCGCGGUAACUCCAGCUCCAAUAGUGUAUCUNNAUGUUGUUGCAGUUAAAAAGCUCGUAGUUGAAUUUCUGGGGGGGUGUUUCAAGGUACGUCCUGAUUCUGCCCCCUCAUCCGCUUUGGAACCAGGAGGGGUAUUNAGUUAUCGGCCUGGGGAAGGGGCAUUUUACUUUGAAGAAAUUAGAGUGUUCCAGGCAGGCUUUGCUUGAAUACAUCAGCAUGGAAUAAUGGAAUAGGACAAUGUUCAUUUUAUUGGCUAUUGAACUUGUAAUGAUUAACAGGGACAGUUGGGGGCAUUCGUAUUCAUUUGUCAGAGGUGGAAUUCUUGGAUUAACUGAAGACGAACUAAUGCGAAAGCAUUUGCCAAGGAUGUUUUCAUUAAUCAAGAACGAAAGUUAGGGGAUCAAAGACGAUCAGAUACCGUC
RNAcentral lists this ribosomal RNA (504 nucleotides) under uncultured marine ciliate. Its description in RNAcentral is "bacterial SSU rRNA". It matches the Rfam family "Eukaryotic small subunit ribosomal RNA", at positions 491 to 1019 of the family's 1831-position model. Lineage: Eukaryota; Ciliophora. The record is from RNAcentral.